RNAcentral lists this ribosomal RNA (240 nucleotides) under uncultured bacterium. RNAcentral's name for it is "partial 16S ribosomal RNA". It matches the Rfam family "Bacterial small subunit ribosomal RNA", at positions 14 to 236 of the family's 1533-position model. The record is from RNAcentral.
GUAUCAUGGCUCAGGAUGAACGCUGGCGGCGUGCCUAACACAUGCAAGUCGAACGAGGUAAAUAAGAGGAAGUUUUCGGAUGGAAUCGUAUUUACCGAGUGGUGGACGGGUGAGUAACGCGUGGAUAACCUGCCUCAUACAGGGGGAUAACGAGUUAGAAAUGACUGCUAAUACCGCAUAAGCGCACAGUACCGCAUGGUACGGUGUGAAAAACUCCGGUGGUAUGAGAUGGAUCCGCGU